This 254-nucleotide ribosomal RNA is filed under the name uncultured prokaryote. Its description in RNAcentral is "partial 16S ribosomal RNA". It matches the Rfam family "Bacterial small subunit ribosomal RNA", at positions 524 to 777 of the family's 1533-position model. The record is from RNAcentral.
UACGGAGGAUGCAAGCGUUAUCCGGAUUUAUUGGGUUUAAAGGGUGCGCAGGUUGUUUGAUAAGUCAGUGGUGAAAGUCUGUCGCUUAACGGUAGGACUGCCAUUGAUACUGUUAGACUUGAAUAUGGAUGAGGUAGGCGGAAUGUGUAGUGUAGCGGUGAAAUGCAUAGAUAUUACACAGAACACCGAUUGCGAAGGCAGCUUACUAAUCCAUCAUUGACGCUGAGGCACGAAAGCGUGGGGAUCAAACAGGA